GACGUAGGGCGCGAGCGUUGUCCGGAUUUAUUGGGCGUAAAGAGCUCGUAGGCGGCUUGUCGCGUCGUCCGUGAAAACCUGGGGCUCAACCCCGAGCCUGCAGUCGAUACGGGCAGACUAGAGUGCGGUAGGGGAGACUGGAAUUCCUGGUGUAGCGGUGAAAUGCGCAGAUAUCAGGAAGGACACCCGUGGCGAAGGCGGCUCUCUGGGACGGUACUGACGCUGAGACGCGAAAGCGUGGGGAGCGAACAGG
Molecule: ribosomal RNA, 253 nt
Filed under: uncultured bacterium
Lineage: Bacteria
Description: partial 16S ribosomal RNA
Rfam family: Bacterial small subunit ribosomal RNA
Source: RNAcentral